UACGAAGGGGGCUAGCGUUGUUCGGAAUCACUGGGCGUAAAGGGCGCGUAGGCGGCCGAUCAAGUCGGGGGGGAAAGCCUGUGGCUCAACCACAGAAUUGCCUUCGAUACUGGUUGGCUUGAGACCGGAAGAGGUAAGUGGAACUGCGAGUGUAGAGGUGAAAUUCGUAGAUAUUGGGAAGAACACCGGUGGCGAAGGCGGCUCACUGGCUCAUUUCUGACGCUCAGGCGCGACAGCGUGGGGAUCAAACAGG
Molecule: ribosomal RNA, 253 nt
Filed under: uncultured bacterium
Lineage: Bacteria
Description: partial 16S ribosomal RNA
Rfam family: Bacterial small subunit ribosomal RNA
Source: RNAcentral